UACGAAGGGGGCUAGCGUUGUUCGGAAUUACUGGGCGUAAAGCGCACGUAGGCGGUUAUUCAAGUCAGAGGUGAAAGCCCGGGGCUCAACCCCGGAACGGCCUUUGAAACUAGAUAGCUAGAAUCUUGGAGAGGUCAGUGGAAUUCCGAGUGUAGAGGUGAAAUUCGUAGAUAUUCGGAAGAACACCAGUGGCGAAGGCGACUGACUGGACAAGUAUUGACGCUGAGGUGCGAAAGCGUGGGGAGCAAACAGG
This 253-nucleotide ribosomal RNA is filed under the name uncultured bacterium. Its description in RNAcentral is "partial 16S ribosomal RNA". It matches the Rfam family "Bacterial small subunit ribosomal RNA", at positions 524 to 776 of the family's 1533-position model. The record is from RNAcentral.